This 86-nucleotide non-coding RNA is filed under the name uncultured Ruminococcus sp. RNAcentral describes it as "Glycine riboswitch". The stretch from base 7 to 83 matches the Rfam family "Glycine riboswitch aptamer", at positions 9 to 86 of the family's 94-position model. Rfam says of the family: This family represents the bacterial glycine riboswitch. Glycine riboswitches usually consist of two metabolite-binding aptamers domains with similar structures in tandem. Lineage: Bacteria; Bacillati; Bacillota; Clostridia; Eubacteriales; Oscillospiraceae. The record is from RNAcentral.
ACGACACUCCGGAGAAUCCCAUGACAGAUGGGUGCCGAAGGUGCAAGCGCGCAAGCGUCAAUCUCUCAGGCAAAAGGACGGAGAAU